This 1026-nucleotide ribosomal RNA is filed under the name human gut metagenome. RNAcentral describes it as "bacterial SSU rRNA". It matches the Rfam family "Bacterial small subunit ribosomal RNA", at positions 44 to 1069 of the family's 1533-position model. The record is from RNAcentral.
AGGCUUAACACAUGCAAGUCGAGGGGCAGCGCGGGAUAGCAAUAUCCUGGCGGCGACCGGCGGAAGGGUGCGUAACGCGUGAGCGACAUGCCCGUUGCCCGGGGACAACCGGUGGAAACGCCGACUAAUCCCCGAUGGGAUACGAUGCUUCAUGGCAUUGUAUUGAAAGUUACGGCGGCGACGGAUUGGCUCGCGUCCGAUUAGCUUGUUGGCGGGGUAACGGCCCACCAAGGCUACGAUCGGUAGGGGUUCUGAGAGGAAGGCCCCCCACAAUGGGACUGAGACACGGCCCAUACUCCUACGGGAGGCAGCAGUGAGGAAUAUUGGUCAAUGGGCGGAAGUCUGAACCAGCCAUGCCGCGUGCGGGAAGGAGGCCCUAUGGGCUGUGAACCGCUUUUGCCUGGGGGCAAUAAGGGCGUCGCGCACGUCCGAUGAGAGUACCAGGCGAAUAAGCAUCGGCUAACUCCGUGCCAGCAGCCGCGGGAAUACGGGGGAUGCGAGCGUUAUCCGGAUUCAUUGGGUUUAAAGGGUGCGUAGGCUGUGCGUCAAGUCGGGGGUGAAAUUCCGGUGCUCAACACCGGGGCUGCCCUUGAUACUGUCGCGCUGGAGUGCGGAUGCCGCCGGAGGAAUGAGUGGUGUAGCGGUGAAAUGCUUAGAUAUCACUCAGAACACCGAUUGCGAAGGCAUCUGGCGAAUCCGUAACUGACGCUGAGGCACGAAAGCGUGGGGAUAGAACAGGAUUAGAUACCCUGGUAUUCCACGCCGUAAACGAUGAUGGCUAACCGCCGGCGACACACUGUCGGUGGCCAAGCGAAAGCGAUAAGCCAUCCACCUGGGGAGUACGUCGGCAACGAUGAAACUCAAAGGAAUUGACGGGGGCCCGCACAAGCGGAGGAACAUGUGGUUUAAUUCGAUGAUACGCGAGGAACCUUACCCGGGCUCGAACGGCACCUGGAUCACCCAGAGAUGGUUGAGUCUUCGGACAGGUGUCGAGGUGCUGCAUGGUUGUCGUCAGCUCGUGCCGUG